GCGAAGAUGGCGAAAUUGGUAGCCGCGCUAGUUUCAGAUGCUAGUGUCUUAAUAAGAUAUGAGGGUUCAAAUCCCUCUCUUCGCA
Molecule: transfer RNA, 85 nt
Filed under: Candidatus Pantoea edessiphila
Lineage: Bacteria; Pseudomonadati; Pseudomonadota; Gammaproteobacteria; Enterobacterales; Erwiniaceae
Rfam family: tRNA
About the family: Transfer RNA (tRNA) molecules are approximately 80 nucleotides in length.
Source: Rfam by way of RNAcentral